GACGAACGCUGGCGGCGUGCCUAAUACAUGCAAGUCGAACGCUGAAGAGAGGAGCUUGCUCUUCUUGGAUGAGUUGCGAACGGGUGAGUAACGCGUAGGUAACCUGCCUUGUAGCGGGGGAUAACUAUUGGAAACGAUAGCUAAUACCGCAUAACAAUGGAUGACACAUGUCAUUUAUUUGAAAGGGGCAAUUGUUCCACUACAAGAUGGACCUGCGUUGUAUUAGUUAGUAGGUGAGGUGAUGGCUCACCUAGGCGACGAUACAUAGCCGACCUGAGAGGGUGAUCGGCCACACUGGGACUGAGACACGGCCCAGACUCCUACGGGAGGCAGCAGUAGGGAAUCUUCGGCAAUGGGGGCAACCCUGACCGAGCAACGCCGCGUGAGUGAAAAAGGGUUUCGGAUCGUAAAGCUCUGUUGUAAGUCAAGAACGAGGAUGAGAGUGGAAAGUUCACACUGUGACGGUAGCUUACCAGAAAGGGACGGCUAACUACGUG
Molecule: ribosomal RNA, 497 nt
Filed under: uncultured bacterium
Lineage: Bacteria
Description: partial 16S ribosomal RNA
Rfam family: Bacterial small subunit ribosomal RNA
Source: RNAcentral